CCGGCCCGGCCCCUAGAAGAUGGCGGUAGGCGCGCUGGAUUUCCAGGGCUUGCUGGUCUUUCUCCUCUGGUCGCGUGCGGAGCUCUCUCGUCUUUCUGGCUAACGUCAGUGUCGUGUAUUGAGAUCUGCUAGUUCCCCUCUUGGUUAGUGUAGUCUUUGCAUAGCACAGAAUAUAAAAGCAAGGACUGAGACUCAGAUCAGUGUCGAAUCCUGCCUCCCAUCUUUCCUAAGGAAGUGUGACCUUGACCUUCGAAAUCAGAUUAAAGUGUAAAGCUUUAGCAUUGUGUUUGAUUUAGAAUAAGAGCCUUAUUAGUAACUGCUUGUAUUUCUAAUUUUGGGGAAGUAUAAAGGCAGUAUAACCUCAAUAUACUGAGAAGAAUCUGCCUGUAUCGGAGGCUAACCUCUGAGCUUGAAGUGAAGGUCCUCAGACACAGUGUGCCAUUUUCAAAACUGAAGAAGCCCAGUACUUGGCUAAUGCCAUGAGAAUCAAAAUUAUUUCAUAUUUUAAAAUAUUUAUAACCUGAUCCCACUUAAUAUCUCCACAGCAUUUUUUUUAAAAAAUCUUUGCAUUUUUAAAAACUGUUCUGUCUGGCAACUUAAGGACAUUCUUGUCAUCCUGUCAUCUCUGCAGUUUCAGUGCAAAGAUAUAAAACUAUGUAUCUUCCGAGAAAUGACUCAGUAAGUUAAGCAUAGGUUAAAGGGUAUGGAACUUAGAGAAAAUGAACGGAAUUGAAACUAUAGAAAAGGCAUGCAUCCUCCUCCUGCUUUCUUACACUUCUUUGUUCGUUGUGUUUUUCAUUUUAACAGCCUUUUAUGUUUCUCUUGAACCUGGCUACUUAAAACAAUCUUCUUAAUACCCCAGUUAUCUCUAUUUAGAAAGUUUAGAGAUUAAUUCAAUUAAAUAAAUACUUACUAAGCUUUGAGUAUUAGGGGACUACUAAUAAGAUAGGCCUAGAAAGUUAGCAUCAACCUGUAGGAGGUUCCUUAGAUUAGCCUUAGAAUUUGAAUUUCAUUCUUUGACCACAGUGAAACCAUCAAAUUUUUCCCCCACAGAACCAUAUGAUCACACUACUUUUGGAUGUGUGAUCUGGAAGCUUUCUCUGGAUUAGUUGAAAGACUGAAGGCAAGAAAAGCAGUAUGGUGAUUUGGGGAAAACCCAAGACAUAAGGAAAUGAAGGCCUACUCUAGGAUGAUGGCAGUGAAAAGAAUGGAAUUGGCUUAAGAAAUAUUCUAAAAUGAGAACUGAUGUGACUAAUAGGGCUAACAAAGAAGAAGGCGUUAAUUAAACUAUGUAUUUCCUCAUGUAUUGCAAUGAAGAGAAGAUAUUGGUGUAGUGAGCUUUUACUAUCUCUUCCAGUUUUAAAAUCCAUUGUUUUCUGUAAUUCUUUUAUCUGAAGAUGAAAGGAAGAAAUAUUCCUAAAACAGUUACAAGGAGGGUGAAUUUGAUUUUAGACCUAAAAUCUAAAACUUUGGGAAGCAAUCUUGUGUCGUCUUUUUUCUUGAAGAAGUUAUUUGCUCCAUCUGAGGCCUUAUGGGAUUAGAACACCCAACUGGCUAGGGGUGAGAAUUAGAAUGAAAGACCUCACUGUCUUGUGAGCUAACUACUUAUGAAGGCAUUGGCAUAUGUGCAUAAACAUUUCUGGUAUAUACCCAGAGAGAAAAAAGAGAAGCUCAAGAGAUGGAACAGCACUAAAGAUGUGUGGACUGACUGAGUUUUCCAAGAACAAUAUCUUGUGGAGGGAAACUGUAGGAACAAAGUGAAGAAAAAGAUGACAGACUUCAGUGAAAAGUCAUGUUUAUGUAAGCAAUUAGUGGUAAAAGCCAUAAGAAAAUCAUUUGAUUUCAUUAUCAAAUCUACUAAUCAUUCUGUGUAAUGCAGAUCUCUAUUAAUUAUAAUGUUAAUUGAGUGAGGAAAAGCUCAAAGUUAUGCAGACCAAUGAAUAAAAACUAUAAAUUUAUCUUAACUUCCACUACUUACAAAUAAGUUAUUUGUAGCCAUUCUUGAACCCGUUGCCUUCAACUCCAGCUGAUUGAGAGGAGGAAUAAAACAAGUGUUUUGACUCAAUGAUAAGUGUCCUGUAGGUAUAUGUUGAGACAAUGUGAUGUGCAUGUAGAUUCCUGAUAAAAUUUUGCUUUUUCCAAAAUGAAGUAGUUCUGAUUUUUCUCUGAUUUUUAAAGUGUAAAUAACCAUUAUAAAAUAUUCAGAUAAUACAGAAUGGAAUGAAGAAAGUGAAAUCAUACCUAUAAAUAACCUGUUAAUAUUAUAAAUGAUAUUAUAUCACUUUCUGUGCACAUGCAGCUUAUUUAAGGAAAAUGGGAUUAUAAUACAUAUGAGAUUUUAGUACCUUUUUCCUUUAAUAAUAUUAACAUUUUAACCCAUAGAUAUUUUCAGCAUUUCUAAUGAAAUGGUGAAAAUUAAGUAUUACCUAAUGAAAAAAAUUUUUAAAUAUACUUUUAGUUAUAGUUGGACACAAUAUCUUUAUUUUAUUUAUUUAUUUUUAUGUGGUGCUGAGGAUGGAAUCCAGCGCCUUGCACAUGCUAGUUGAGUGCUCUACUGCUGAGCCACAACCCCAGCCCUACCUAAUGAAAAUUUGAGGAUGAUCUUCCAUGAAAAAGUGGCAAUUAAGUGUAAUUGAAGAAUAGAAAUGUAAAAGAAUGACUUAAAAUGUGUUGUUUGAAUAUAUCUAAUAUGAUGUAAGUUUCUUUUAAAACAGCUUCUUGUGUGUUUGUGUGUGUUUAACUUUUUAUUGGACUAUUAUAUUUACACAAAUUAGUGGAACUCAUUGUUAUUUAUUUGUACAUGUACACAAUGUAACAGUAUACUUUUGGUCAAUUUCAUCCUGAAAUAUUUAGUUUCUGGAAAACUCUCCUCCUCCUUACAACAGUACCAUUUUUCUCUAGGUAUCCAUAUGUUCCCAGAGAAGUUGACAUCCUUCCACCUUAAGUGGUAAUGUAAUCUUGCCUAUCCAAUCAGUACAUGGCAUGCUUUUGAACUUAGUGAUUUAAGUCAGAGUGGGCAUUUACCCUAAUGUACUUCAACAUAAUGACUCUUAAGACUUUUGCAGAAAAUAUUGAUGUUCUUUUUUGCUGGACAAGAGGAAGAUGCUGACAGCCUUCUUGGGACCGUGAAAGAAAUCAUCCUUAAAAUGAUGCAGAUACCAAGUUUGGCACAACAGAGAGAAGGAAGUAAUAGGGAACUUGAUGACAUACUAUACAUGUGAAGUAGCCUCACAAGUUUACCUGGGGAUCUUUCAUUUGUGUGAACCAGUCAUUUUUUAUUUUUAUUAUUUAAACAAGUUUGAGUUGAAUUUUCUGUUACCUGAAAUCAAAUUCAUGGAAAAAAUUCUAAAAGAAAAUACCUACAGUGAUUAUCUCUGUAUAACAAGAGUACAUAUGAUUUUUUUCUGUGUAGAAAAGUUCUCAAAAUUUCUAUCAAAAAUGUGUAUUAAUUUUAUCAGGAAAAAGUCUGAAGUAAGUCAUAAAGGAUAUAUUUUGGUUAUAUGGAAAUGUUAAAAAAUACUUAAUAAAAAUUCUUCUAAAUCACUACCAAGUACUAAAACAGGUAGGUAAACUAAAUUCACCCAUAAAACAGAACAAUUUAAGAGCACUGAUACAGUGAAGUACAUAAACUUAUAUUAUACAAAGGCUUUGUGUUUGUUAAUCUUUGUACCCUUAGUACUUAGACUAGUGCUUUCUCUGGCAUAUGAUAGACAUUCAGAAAUGUUUUUGAAUGAUUGAAUAAAACUGAUUUCCACUAGAUAUCUAGGAAGUUGAAGUGUACUUCUAUUUAGUGGGAGCUAUUUGAUAUAAGCAAUGGAGAUACAGCUCUUUUACAAUAAGUGGAUUUCUUAUUUUUUCCUAGCUUUCACUUGUGCUUUUUGUUUAUAGCCUUAUUUAAAUAUUCUUCCAAAUUUCUGAAUUCUUUUUGUUAUUAUAAAUGCUUUAAUUUAAUAAUUUAGUUUCUCAUCUGUCAGGGUAACACCCUGAAAAUUUUCUUUUAACUUAAUAUUUGUAAUAAUAUGUGUGUUUGAAGAAAUGGCUACUAGUUUUUUCUUUCCUUUCAAUUUUAUUACUGAAAUAUUCUCACAAAAGCAAUGAAAGAAAGUGGAGCCUAACCAUCUCACAUUAUUAUUAUUAUUAUUAUUAUUAUUAUUGCACUGUGGAUUAAUCUUAGGGGCACUCAACCAUUGAGCCAUAUCCCCAACCCUAUUUUUGUAUUUUAUUUAGAGACAGGGUUUCACUGAGUUGCUUAGCACCUCACUGUUGCUGAAGCUGGCUUUGAACUUGUGAUCCUCCUGUCUCAGCCUCCCAAGCUUCUGGGAUUACAGGUGUGUGCCACUGUGCCUGGCCUUUUAUGUUUUUGAUGUUGUUGUUUUGUAGUACUGGCCAUUGAAUCCAGGAACACUACCACUGAGCUACAUCCCAGCCCUUUUAAUUUUUAUUUCAGGACAGGGUCUCACUUAAUUGUUGAUGCAGGCUUUGAAUUUGUAACCCUCCUGCCUCAGCCUCUGGAGUAGCUGGGAUUAUGGGAAUGUGCCACUGCUUCUGACUUUGAUCUUUUUAUCUACUUAGGUAAUGUUUGAAUAUGGGUAAAUAGGCAGAGGCUUUUAACUGGGCCAGCACUUAAGACAUUAAGAAGAGAAACAAAACAGAAUUAUGUGAUGAAAUUAUAAGCUAAUUCAGUUACUUAGAUAAGACAGAGAGUAGAAACUAUUCAAUAGAAGCAUGGUAAGUUUGGGGGCUCAGCCAGUCUCUUUCAAGACUUAGUUUCUUAAUACCACACUUUUUUUUAAGGUCAGAGAUAUGAAAUAGGAAAUGAAAGACAAAAAAUACACUUGUUUCUUCUAGCUUGUUCAUUAAAAAGUGGGCUCACUGACGAAUUUAAUAAGCAUUCUUUAGUGAAGUGACCUUGUAACUGCAGAGCAUUUUCUAAUGUGAAUAGUGUCUAAAAUGAAAUACUGCUGGAUGUGAUGGUGCAGGCCUGAAUCCCAGCCUCUUGGGAGGCUGAAGUAAGAGGAUUGCAAAAUCAAAACCAGUCCCAGCAACUUAAUGACGCCCUAGGCAACUUAGUAACCCUGUCUCAAAAAAGAAGGGCGAGGCGUAGUUCAGUAGUAAAGCACCUCUGGGUACAAUCCCCAGCGCCAAAAAAAGAAAAAGAAAAAAAAACAAAAUACUUAAAAUAACCAAUUUUGUACAUUAGAAAGAGGAAGUGGAGAAAACCUCAGAUUUUAACGUUGAUUUGGAAUAAGUAGGCUUUUAGCCACUUCUAGUUAGAAUAUGUGUAGAGCUGGUGAGUGAAUAGUUAGCUAAGAGGGAGAGAAAAGAAAGCUCUCACAUGCGCAGUCCAACAAUUAAGCCCAGUACCUCAGAAGCUUUCUUUUUGUAGAGUAUGUAUUUCAAGGGUUCCAGUCUUCUUCCCUCCUUGAAGGGGCAGGUCCCCAUCUGUUGAUUUCCAUAGUAUUCUAAGUGCCUAGAACAGUGCUUGUCACAUAGUAGGCACUUGUUGACUUCCUAACUCUUGGAAUACAAGCCAAAAGGUUUGUGAAGUUUUCUGUAUUUAGAGAAUCACUUAAAAAACGGAAACACCUGCUCUUUCUUGGCCUGUUUCUUUCACUUUCGGUAAAUGAUGGAAAAGAAGAAUCAGAACUCAAUUAUCUGUGUGGCAACAGAGGAACCAGAUCAGUAGUUGAAACAGAAUAAAUGUUGAGGAAUCAUCACUGGUUGUAAUACAGACUAAAUAUGAUAAAAUGUUUCUAUAAUUAAUUGUACAAAUAUUUAAAUGUCCCUAUAAGUCCAAAGGGACUUAUGUAUAUUUCCUUUACUCUCUUAUGCAUGCUUUCCCUAACCCUUUCCAAAACAUUGAAACUAGAAAGAAAAUUUACAGCUUCUGAGCUGCAAGAAAAUUACCCAGACCUUGUCACAAAGAGGCCUAGUCACUAGUUUGACAGUCAUUAUUGUUGGAGAAUAAAGUGGAUAAAAGUGAGUUUCUCAUGCAGUGUUAAUUGAGGUUUCUGUACUAUGUAGCUAGUAGUAGCCUGGUUAACUAUAUCCUCAAGUCUGGCUUAUUAUUAGUCCUAAAGGCCUAUCCCAAACCCUCCCACAUAGGUUUACAAUAUGCAUUCAUUAUGGAGAUGAUAUUUAUGGUGAUGUUAAGAUUUGGUUAAAUUCCUAGAAAACACUUUAAAAAAUUCAUUUCAUAUGUUGCCUCAAUAAACUGAUCAACAAUUUUCCUUUUUUUUUUUUUAACCCACCUAGGUCUAGUAUAAAAAGUUGAAGCCCAAGACUGGGGCUAAGUUUCACUGGUAGAGCCCUGGGUUCAAUCCUCAACAGGAAAAAAAAAAAUCACACCCAAUAUUUACCAUAGUGAAUUGAUUUGUUUGUUUUAGUGACAAAAUUAGAUCAUCCCUGAGGGCAAUAGGAACAUUUUAAGAAAUCUUUGAACUACAUACAAAGACCCCAAUAAAAUUGAGAAGACCCUCUCUGAAUCUCUUCUCAACCAUUGGAAUUUCACCUAUCCAGCUGCAAGUGUUAAAAAUUGGAGAAUUAUGUUUGUCCAAAAUCCUUUCCUUACUAUGGAAGGUGGUAAGCAGGGAACGAGUGUGACCUCUGUUACAUGGAAGUUAGCUUGUAUACGAAGGUUGGAGAGGAGAAAGCCUUCAUUUCAAAUGAUGUAGAACAUUAGUGAACAUAACUGCAAAGUAACUGAAGAAGGGAAAUUUGUCUCCCCAGCUCUUGGAAAUAAGAGCAGUGUUGCAACGGAUCCACUGAGUAUAGGUGACCAAUGGAAAACUCCUGUAAAGAGACAGCAGGGACAGGGAUUAUACGGUGAGGAAUGUUUCCCAAAACAACAGGGGGUUAGAGUUUAGACCUUUCCUCCCAACAGAACGAUAGCUGUUCUGUUCUUUUUUCUUCAGGCCUCAGUCUUAGUGUGCUUCCAGGCACUCUAUCAUUCUUAUACUUUCUCAGCAUUUUCUCAUCUUUUUAGUCGUCUCAUCUUAUUAUUACAUGCUAGUGAUUUGGUGCUACCAGGCUACUGCUUGUUCUACACAUUAUUUGUUCAGUAUGACUUGCAUGUGUGGCUACUGGACAAGAGCCUCAGAAGGCCAAAAUGGGAAGAACAUGGAAGAACAUGGGGUGAAGAGCAGUCAUAAAGAUUGAGGAUUUAAGCAAUAUUCUUAAUCACAGUCAGGAAUCCAAAGGUCUGUCACAACAGUUUUCAACUAGAAUCAUCUGGGGAAAACGUGUUUGUGUGUGUGUGUGUGUGUGUGCAUUACUGAUUGAACCCAGGGUCUCACGCUUGCUAGGCAGGUGCUAAGUGUACCACUUGGCUAAUUCUUCGGCCCUUUCUAUUUUUAACAGGGUAUACUAAGUUGCCCAGGCUAUUCUCAAACUUACAAUCCUCCUGCUCCAGCCUCUUUUGGGGAAUAUAAUGCUUAAAAAUAUAGAUGCCAGAACCCCACGCAGACUUUCUAAAUCAACAUCACUGCAGUUGGGUCCUUGGUCUGUAUUUUAUUUUUUCAUAUUCUCAGAUGUUUCUAAUAUAAAUUCUUGGUCAAGAGCUACUCAUCUAGGUAACAAACUGAAAAGUAGAAAUAAAUCUUAAAAGCAAGUAGUAUUUGUAUGAGAGGAGCACAGAAAAUUUUUCUAGAGUCUUAGUACUCUCUGGGGAGAAAUGUAUUCUCAUUAUAGGAAAAAAGUCACAUUGAAUCUGGCAUCUUCCUUGAGAAAACCAUUUCGGUAACCUUUUCCAUUUGUUUGGUUUGUCCUUUGUGGAGAAGAGCAAAACAAAGUACAACAAACCACUCUCUUUAUGUCUUGUGAAUAUAUACCACAUCUUCACUAUAGUGCCAUUUUUCAAAUCCCAGGCACAAAGUGCACAUCAAGGGAGAAUUAGUUUUCUGUCAAUACGUUAAGCAUAUUGUGAAUCAUGUAACAGAAUAUCAGUGCAGUCAUUUCACCAUCUCUUAAAACUAAAGUUUUUGAGAAAUAAUCAAAAUCCCUCCCAUUUUUCCUCAGAGAUUCUAUUUAUAAAAUAUAGCUUUUAAAUAAUCUUUUCUUUAAUAUUUGUGCAUGUGGCAUCUUAUUUAAAAAAUUCUUCCCUGCAUCAAGGAUGUGGGGAAAAAAGCACACUCAUAUACUGCUGGUGGGACUACAAAUUGGUACAGCCAAAAUGAAAGCAGUAUGGAGAAUCCUUGGAAAACUGGGAAUGGAACCUCUAUUUGACCCAGCAAUCCCACUCCUUGCUCUAUACCCAAAGGACUUAAAAACAGCAUACUAAAUGUUUAUAGCAGCAUAAUUCACAGUAGCUAAACUGUGAAACCAACCUAGAUGCCCUUCAGUAGAUGAAUGGAUAAAGAAAAUGUGGUAUAUAUACACAAUAGACUAUUACUCAGCAAUAAAAGAGAAUAAAAUCAUGGCAUUUGCAGGUAAAUGGAUGGAGUUGGAGAAUAUAAUGCUAAGGGAAGUUAGCCAAUCCCAAAAAACCAAAUGCUGAAUGUUUUCUCUGAUAUAAGGAAGCUAAUUCAUAGUGGGGUUGGGGGGAGGAGCAUGGGAGGAUUAGAUGAACUCUAGAUAGGACAAAGGGAGGGGAGGGUAAGGAAGGCGGCAUGGGGCUAGAAAAGAUGGUGGGAUGUGAUAGACAUCAUAACCCCAAGUACGUGUAUGAAGACACGAAUGAUAUGGAUAUACUUUGUAUACAACCAGAGAUAUGAGAAGUUGUGUUCUAUAUGUGUAAUAUGAAUUGUAAUGCAUUCUGCUGUCAUGUAUAACGAAUUAGAAUAAAAAAAUUCCUCC
This 8793-nucleotide long non-coding RNA is filed under the name Marmota monax (woodchuck). Lineage: Eukaryota; Metazoa; Chordata; Mammalia; Rodentia; Sciuridae. The record is from RNAcentral.